GUCCUAGCCUUAACGAUGAUGACUUGGUGUGUCGGGUUUUCAGUCCCGAUGUGCCGGAGCUAACGCGAUAAGUCAUCCGCCUGGGGAGUACGGUCGCAAGACUGAAACUCAAAGGAAUUGACGGGGACCCGCACAAGCGGUGGAGCAUGUGGUUUAAUUAGACGCAACGCGAAGAACCUUACCUGGGCUGGAACGCUAAGGACCGGAGUUCAAAAACUACCUUUCUUAGGGAAACAUAAGACCGAAACGAGGUGCUGCACGGCUGUCGU
RNAcentral lists this ribosomal RNA (269 nucleotides) under uncultured bacterium. RNAcentral describes it as "partial 16S ribosomal RNA". It matches the Rfam family "Bacterial small subunit ribosomal RNA", at positions 793 to 1055 of the family's 1533-position model. The record is from RNAcentral.